CCCUUAGAUGUUCUGAACCGCACGCGUGUUACACUGAUGCAUUCAACGAGCUUUACCUUGGCCGAGAGGCCUGGGAAAUCUUUUUAGCAUGCAUCGUGAUAGGGAUUGAUUAUUGCAAUUAUUAAUCAUGAACGAGGAAUUCCUAGUAAACGCAUUUCAUCAAAAUGCAUUGAUUACGUCCCUGCCCUUUGUACACACCGCCCGUCGCACCUACCGAUUGAGUGGUCCGGUGAAGUCUCGAGAUUGUGGCAAUCUCCUUUAUUGGAGUUUGACUGCGAGAACUUGCCUAAACCUUAUCACUUAGAGGAAGAUGAAGUCGUAACA
This 324-nucleotide ribosomal RNA is filed under the name uncultured eukaryote. RNAcentral's name for it is "partial 18S ribosomal RNA". It matches the Rfam family "Eukaryotic small subunit ribosomal RNA", at positions 1470 to 1796 of the family's 1831-position model. The record is from RNAcentral.